This is a long non-coding RNA of Lolium perenne, 705 nucleotides long. RefSeq lists it as uncharacterized. The record is from RefSeq and is a predicted model, not a curated record. Lineage: Eukaryota; Viridiplantae; Streptophyta; Magnoliopsida; Poales; Poaceae.
AUAGCUUUUCACGGGUAUAACGAGUUCUUUUUGUACUAAGCCUGUACGUUGGGAAUACUCCAAGUACAACCUGUCAUGGUGUCAGGCUACCGCACUAUCGUCAAUAUCUUAUCCCUUUCUCCCCCACCGACGCUUGACUCUCUUUCUUGCCUCACUCCUGAAUCUUGCAACCAGAGAGGGGAACCCGGAGAGGAAAGCGGCAAAGCUUGGAUGUGGCGCCAGAGGGCGCGGCGGCAGAGAUGCGAGCAGAGGGAGCGGCAGCCCCUCGACUCAUUCCCCCUCGAGAGAGCUCUGGAGCAGGGUGUGCGGAAGUCUCCGGUGGCCUGGUUUCAACGACGGGCUGGACAGGAUGAGUGAUGGCUUCCUCAACAUGGCCACAUCCGGCCGGCGCGGUGCACAGAUGACGCUGCAGUCACCGGUGUCCUUCGUAGACAUCGGCUCUUCUCUUACAUGCCUGCAGGUGAAUCAAGUUCAGAGGAAUAAUAUAUGUGAAACUUGAGGAAAGUGGUGGCAUCGGUGCUGUAGUGCAUAUGGAUUUUUGUUUUCUCUUGCUCAAGUUUACUCAACUUAAAUUUUGGUUGUCUGCGUAUGGCCUUGUUGUGGUGCAACUGAUGUAAAGCAUUGUCAAAGAUGACGUGUGAAACAAUGGGAUACGAGUUUAUGUAUGACAUGGCAUUUCUUAUCUGAAAUUUGGUUGUUUUUUAA